This is a non-coding RNA of Erpetoichthys calabaricus (reedfish), 500 nucleotides long. The record is from the annotation of a RefSeq genome assembly. NCBI's taxonomy places the organism in Eukaryota, Metazoa, Chordata, Cladistia, Polypteriformes, Polypteridae.
ACCAAAAACAGCUAUGAAGGUUUUAUAUUUUUUCAUGCUAUCUGCUAUUUUGCCAUGUGUCCAUUCAGCUAUUGUCUUGUCCCAAACAAGUAAUGAGGUCAGAAAGCCUGGUGAGUCGUUGCGACUGACCUGCCAAGGAUCUGGACAAGACAGUGAUGGAGAUACUGUUACUGCUUACUGGAUGAGCUGGAUUCGACAGGAGCCUGGAAAAAGUCUUGAAUGGCUAGCUCACAUUAAUCCAAACAGUGGUACUAUACGCUACGCCAGCAGCAUUGAAGGACGAUUUACAAUCUCCAGAGACAAUUCUAAACAGGCUCUGUAUUUGGACAUGAACAGCCUCAAAACUGAAGACACAGCCAAAUAUUAUUGUGCUACACACACAAUGAGGAAGUUCGCGCUGUGGCUCAUACAAAAUCCUCACUAAAAACCUUUUUGUCCCACCACCCCCUCUAAAAAGUGCAAUUACAUUUUGUCGAAUGUUAAAAAAGGACAUCUUACCU